AUUGAACGCUGGCGGCAUGCUUUACACAUGCAAGUCGAACGGUAACAGGCCUUCGGGUGCUGACGAGUGGCGAACGGGUGAGUAAUGCAUCGGAACGUGCCCAGAGGUGGGGGAUAACGCAGCGAAAGCUGUGCUAAUACCGCAUGUGAUCUGAGGAUGAAAGCGGGGGACCAGGCAGCAAUGUUUGGCCUCGCGCCUUUGGAGCGGCCGAUGUCAGAUUAGGUAGUUGGUGGGGUAAAGGCCUACCAAGCCGACGAUCUGUAGCUGGUCUGAGAGGACGACCAGCCACACUGGGACUGAGACACGGCCCAGACUCCUACGGGAGGCAGCAGUGGGGAAUUCUGGACAAUGGGCGCAAGCCUGAUCCAGCAAUGCCGCGUGCGGGAAGAAGGCCUUCGGGUUGUAAACCGCUUUUGUACGGAACGAAAAGGCUCUGGCUAAUACCUGGGGCUGAUGACGGUACCGUAAGAAUAAGCACCGGCUAACUACGUG
RNAcentral lists this ribosomal RNA (492 nucleotides) under uncultured bacterium. Its description in RNAcentral is "partial 16S ribosomal RNA". It matches the Rfam family "Bacterial small subunit ribosomal RNA", at positions 30 to 507 of the family's 1533-position model. The record is from RNAcentral.